Molecule: ribosomal RNA, 397 nt
Filed under: uncultured bacterium
Lineage: Bacteria
Description: partial 16S ribosomal RNA
Rfam family: Bacterial small subunit ribosomal RNA
Source: RNAcentral
AUACGUAGGGGGCGAGCGUUGUCCGGGAUGAUUGGGCGUAAAGGGCGCGUAGGCGGCCCGGUAAGUCUGGAGUGAAAGUCCUGUUUUUAAGAUGGGAAUUGCUUUGGAUACUGUCGGGCUUGAGUGCAGGAGAGGUAAGUGGAAUUCCCAGUGUAGCGGUGAAAUGCGUAGAGAUUGGGAGGAACACCAGUGGCGAUGGCGACUUACUGGACUAUAACUGACGCUGAGGCGCGAAAGUGUGGGGAGCAAACAGGAGUAGAUACCCUGGUAGUCCACACUGUAAACGAUGAAUGCUAAGUGUAGGGGGUAUCGACCCCUUCUGUGCCGCAGUCAACACAAUAAGCAUUCCGCCUGGGGAGUACGGCCGCAAGGUUGAAACUCAAAGGAAUUGACGGGG